CAGUAGGAAGAAGAGUUGACUGAGGAACUGCAUAAAACAACAUGAAAAGAUGAUACAGUAUGAAGAGAGAAAACACACGCUGGAAGUACAACAACAACAACAAAACGACAACCCGCACCACACAUGAAAUAUCAUCAUACAACUCAGGGAGAAAUUCUCGCUACAACUGGAAUGCAGCCCCAUUUUCUCAUCAGCUCUUUUGUUAGUAUACAGGCAAAGAGGAGACCUCACUGAUGCUUUUAGCCGACCUACUAGACAGCAGUUAGUGUACACAGAAACGUAAAACAUAGCAAUAAAAAAAGAUAUACAGUGGCUACAAAAAGGUCAGUGUAAAGUUUCCACUGUCCACUAAUCACACACAAUAUUUGGGUCAUGGUUAAGUCCAAGGAUCCAACAUUGACUCGGGAGAAAAGCAAAGGUAAAGCAGGACGGUGAUUGCAGCAAUACACAAGCUCAGUCAAAGAUGCUGAUGCAGUCAGGACUGCUAUAUGGAAAGGCGUAACACGGAAAGGAGACACGUCUUGAGUGCAUUUUCACAAGCUUGCAUUCAAAGCAAAGCAUCUUAAAACAUCUCUCAGAAGCAUGUGUUAGAGAAAAGCACGUAAAAAAUCCAAUAGUGCGGGCCCUCGCUUCUGAAAUACACCUGAGGUGAAAGGCAAGUAAGAGUUGGUCGUGGCCUACCUGAUGCUGACUCCUGCAACUUUUCCCUCUUCCUCUUCUUUUUCUUCCCCUGAAAAACAGGCAAUUUUACUAUACCAUUACAUGCACAGAACUUCCUUUGUCUCUCCCCCACCUCACAGCAUAGAAAUAAAAACCAUCUGGACACUGAAAAAGCAAUUAGGCAAAAAAAAAAAUCAAUCAAUUGUUUUGGGUGUAGGGAAAACCUUUUCUAACCCACUUCCAACUGUUUCAACAGUAACAAGGUUUGCUCCCAGCAUCUACAGAGAAAUAUGCACAUGAGCAAUACAUGUUUUUAUAUUCACAUGGAAUUACAAUUUCUGGCAGUUUUUCAACUAAUGCUGGCAGCCACAAGCCUCUAAAAGACUUUUCACACUUAAUAAUCUGAUGACACAUGUGUUGAUAUCAUAAUUUAUGGCUCUUACAAGAACUCUUCGCACAUUCAGAUACUUACACUGUCAUACAUGGCAACAGCAGACAGGGUGUUGAAAGUACCUAGGACGACCAUGACUUGCCCCCAGGGUGCAAACCAGCCAACUAAAAACUGUUCUGAUAACGCCCAUGCCUUAACAAAAACCAAGUCUCAAAUGGAUGUGCCCAUAGAAAAUGCUGUACAAUAAUGAAACAUCAGAUUGCUGUAGAGUGAAACACCCUUAAAGUGACUGAGGUGCAGGACAGAAAUGGACGUCAGGCAGCUGUCUUUCUUGGACACCACGCUGGCACCAUCAUGCCAACCCACACAUUCAGCCUUCUCCUGCACCCCCAUCUAUGGAAAAGGACAGAGCUCUCAGCACAGUCCUUCAGGAAACAAAAGGUCAGUUUAGAUCCACAAUUUUAAACCUCAUCAUCUUGCUUUGCCCUAAUUACCACUUUGAUAUUCCUCCAUAUGACUUCUCCUCAGUAUCCUGCAUCGUCAGCCAAAGCUUUUUUUGUUUUGUGCUUUUUUUUUUUUUUUAAAAGAAAAGUAAUAUCCAUUUGUAUUUUAAAGAAGGCUUCAAGCUGUCAGCAUGGGCCCUAACAGAGGUAAACCUUGGUGUGGUUGCUGCAAGCGUGCCUGUUGCCUGCUGUCCUUUCUUCUGCCCCCAACCAGAGGUGACCCCACUCAGCACACUCGAAGCAGACCAUGCCAUGCACCGUGGCCACAAAUUGGAAGGGCUGAGAUGGAAAGACACAUCUUUCUUUUAGCUAUAGCUCUGCAAGGUGACAGGAUGGAUAACAGGCCGUGUGAGAAUCCACCUCGAACCACUGCAGUACUCACUGAUGGAUGGCAAGUGAGGGCUCCAAACAUAAGCUACAGUGAAGCUACAGCACAUGAACUUAAGUAGUCUCCAGUCCACUUGCCUGACUCUUAAGCUAUUAUCCUUAUUUAUCCUGAGGGUGGCAACAGGGCUCAGCAAUGCCUUUGUGAGUGACCUCCCAAAAACGAGACCAAGAUUGGAAGCCGGAAAGCAGAUUUCAAGGGCUCUGGGAAAUGCAGAGUGAUGUGCUUUAUCACCUGGGCACCAAGGCAAUGAUUCUGAUUUAGAUGUUAACAUGGAAAAAAUCCUGUGAGGAAAAUUAUAUUUUGUUCUCUACAGUGCACUGAUUUCAAGUGCCAAGAUAUACUGAAAGCUAAUCUGAGAUCCAUCUAUGAGAUACCAGAAGCAAAGGAACAGAAGGAAAAGGCUGGGCUGAAAACUACUUGUCAGUGUUCGCAAAUGAGGGAGUUUCUAACAAUUCCAGCACGUGCAGACACUACCACAUUAUGAAAACACUGUGCUUCUCAUGACUAGCACAUAACUUUGUGGGACUACUUUGCGUAUCAGUAAUAGGAACAUAAUGAAAAGCACACAGAUAUUGUCACCAGUGGAAUAGCAAUGCUUAACAUUUUCAUGAAAUUUCUGAAAUCCUCAAUAUUCAGGCAAACCAAAAUAGAAGAAU
Molecule: long non-coding RNA, 2598 nt
Organism: Colius striatus (speckled mousebird)
Lineage: Eukaryota; Metazoa; Chordata; Aves; Coliiformes; Coliidae
Exons: 3
Source: RefSeq, a predicted model, not a curated record